This 1029-nucleotide ribosomal RNA is filed under the name Polyporales sp. 4 SR-2012. RNAcentral's name for it is "eukaryotic LSU rRNA". The stretch from base 749 to 1029 matches the Rfam family "Eukaryotic large subunit ribosomal RNA", at positions 1 to 275 of the family's 3401-position model. Lineage: Eukaryota; Fungi; Basidiomycota; Agaricomycetes; Polyporales. The record is from RNAcentral.
UAAGUUCCCUGCCCUUUGUACACACCGCCCGUCGCUACUACCGAUUGAAUGGCUUAGUGAGGUCUUGGGAUUGGCUUCGGGGAGCCGGCAACGGCACCCUGUCGCUGAGAACUUGAUCAAACUUGGUCAUUUAGAGGAAGUAAAAGUCGUAACAAGGUUUCCGUAGGUGAACCUGCGGAAGGAUCAUUAUCGAGUUUUGAAACGGGUUGUAGCUGGCCUCUCCGGAGGCAUGUGCACGCCCUGCUCAUCCACUCUACACCUGUGCACUUACUGUGGGUAUCGGAAGGCGUCGCGUCGUUUACGGCGAGGCGUUAACCGUGCCUACGUCUUACUACAAACGCUUCAGUAUCAGAAUGUGUAUUGCGAUGUAACGCAUCUAUAUACAACUUUCAGCAACGGAUCUCUUGGCUCUCGCAUCGAUGAAGAACGCAGCGAAAUGCGAUAAGUAAUGUGAAUUGCAGAAUUCAGUGAAUCAUCGAAUCUUUGAACGCACCUUGCGCUCCUUGGUAUUCCGAGGAGCAUGCCUGUUUGAGUGUCAUGAAAUUCUCAAACCCAUAAGUCUUUGCGGGCUUACGGGCUUUGGACUUGGAGGCUUUGUCGGCGACCGCGAGGUCUGUCGACUCCUCUCAAAUGCAUUAGCUUGAUUCCUUGCGGAUCGGCUCUCGGUGUGAUAAUUGUCUACGCCGUGACCGUGAAGCGUUUUGGCGAGCUUCUAAUCGUCUCGUACGAGACAGCUUACAUUGACCUCUGACCUCAAAUCAGGUAGGACUACCCGCUGAACUUAAGCAUAUCAAUAAGCGGAGGAAAAGAAACUAACAAGGAUUCCCCUAGUAACUGCGAGUGAAGCGGGAAAAGCUCAAAUUUAAAAUCUGGCGGUCUUUGGCCGUCCGAGUUGUAGUCUGGAGAAGUGCUUUCCGCGCUGGACCGUGUAUAAGUCUCUUGGAACAGAGCGUCAUAGAGGGUGAGAAUCCCGUCUUUGACACGGACUACCAGUGCUUUGUGAUGCGCUCUCGAAGAGUCGAGUUGUUG